Molecule: ribosomal RNA, 465 nt
Filed under: Microbacterium foliorum
Lineage: Bacteria; Bacillati; Actinomycetota; Actinomycetes; Micrococcales; Microbacteriaceae
Description: bacterial SSU rRNA
Rfam family: Bacterial small subunit ribosomal RNA
Source: RNAcentral
CCCCCCAGUCGAACGGUGAACACGGAGCUUGCUCUGUGGGAUCAGUGGCGAACGGGUGAGUAACACGUGAGCAACCUGCCCCUGACUCUGGGAUAAGCGCUGGAAACGGCGUCUAAUACUGGAUACGAGUAGCGACCGCAUGGUCAGUUACUGGAAAGAUUUAUUGGUUGGGGAUGGGCUCGCGGCCUAUCAGCUUGUUGGUGAGGUAAUGGCUCACCAAGGCGUCGACGGGUAGCCGGCCUGAGAGGGUGACCGGCCACACUGGGACUGAGACACGGCCCAGACUCCUACGGGAGGCAGCAGUGGGGAAUAUUGCACAAUGGGCGCAAGCCUGAUGCAGCAACGCCGCGUGAGGGAUGACGGCCUUCGGGUUGUAAACCUCUUUUAGCAGGGAAGAAGCGAAAGUGACGGUACCUGCAGAAAAAGCGCCGGCUAACUACNUGCCAGCAGCCGCGGUAAUACNAG